This 360-nucleotide transfer-messenger RNA is filed under the name Sandaracinus sp. It matches the Rfam family "transfer-messenger RNA". Rfam says of the family: Bacterial tmRNA, also known as 10Sa RNA or SsrA, is named for its dual tRNA and mRNA-like properties. Its role is to liberate the mRNA from a stalled ribosome. The record is from RNAcentral. Lineage: Bacteria; Pseudomonadati; Myxococcota; Polyangiales; Sandaracinaceae. RNAcentral also lists the same sequence under 3 other names.
GGGGGCGAUCGGUUUCGACGGGGACGAAGAAGGAUCGGUUGCGUGUACGCCGGCCCGCUACGGCGCAAAUCCAUGCGGGAACCCACAACUGCCAACGACAACGCAGUCGCUCUCGCGGCCUGAACAGCCGUAGAGCCGUCGACCUGGAAAGCCUGUCAGUGCUCGCCGGGAAGACGUCAUUCGAACUGACUGGUCACCGUGUGCGCCACCCGCCACGGUGAUGAGAUUUUGGGUGGCUAGCGUCCCAGACAGCCUGUUCGUGGGCGAGACCGGACGCGAACUCUCAAAACACGAAAUACGCACGUAGACGCCGCUCUGGAUCGUCUUCGGACCGGGGUUCGAUUCCCCGCGCCUCCACCG